RNAcentral lists this non-coding RNA (24 nucleotides) under Arabidopsis thaliana (thale cress). Lineage: Eukaryota; Viridiplantae; Streptophyta; Magnoliopsida; Brassicales; Brassicaceae. The record is from RNAcentral.
AUAGAUUCGUGUUAUAGCCUUACU